This 748-nucleotide long non-coding RNA is filed under the name Saimiri boliviensis boliviensis (Bolivian squirrel monkey). Its description in RNAcentral is "lncRNA (ENSSBOG00000036584.1)". Lineage: Eukaryota; Metazoa; Chordata; Mammalia; Primates; Cebidae. The record is from RNAcentral.
UCUGGAGGUUCCUGGAGAGCAGACCAGAAGGGAGGACCCGCGGAGACCACCUGCCUCAAACUGCCCAUUUUACAGGUAGAGAACGCGGCCCAGAAGGCCGACGAUCACAGAGGGCAGCUGUUCAUGAAGCUGAUGGCUGCUUGCUCCAGGUCACAGAGCACAGCCGUGGAGUAAAUACAGCACAGCCCACAGCAUGCAGAGCCAUCCUCCCGUCAGAGACUCCCUCCCGCAUCGCCCGGGGUUUGGCUGCGAUGACCACACCUGCAGUGGACAUUCGCAUGCAGGCUCCGUGGUGUGGACCUGUGUGCGUUCCUCCCGGGUGGCACGGUCCCUCAACACUGGGAAGCGGUGCAGAGCCCUGGACACCUGCCAGGAAGGGGGACUGGAAUCCGUCACAUCUGUGGCCUCUGGGCUCACAUAGGGACCCAGCCGCAUCCCUGGUGUCCUGGGCCUUGAUUCCGUCUUCGUCCAGUGAGAAGAACGCGCUCCUUCCUGCUGACCUGCGGGAUUGGAAAUGCAAGUUAAAUGCUGUUGUAUGCAAACGUUGUCUGUGUAAUUAGUAAUAGAUGGCCAGUGGGCAAGUUCUUUUCAGUGGGUGAAUUAUUUCAACCAUCACACCCAACCUGCAACCUCGGGCCACACUGGUCCAGGAAUGAGCUACUAAGAGUUUAUGAUAAAUAUGUCUAAAAAUCGAGAAGCCCAGUAGCAAUUUGGCAGGAUCAUUGUGUCUCUUGAAUCUCAUACUAAA